GCUGGCAGCUAGCUCUCUGCAACUCUCACAUGGACGCCCGCUGAAGCUAAGCAGGGCUGCGCCUGGUCUGUACCUGGAUAGGAGACCACAUGGGAAAGCUAGGUUGCUGCCAGAA
This is a non-coding RNA of Danio rerio (zebrafish), 115 nucleotides long. Lineage: Eukaryota; Metazoa; Chordata; Actinopteri; Cypriniformes; Danionidae. The record is from Rfam.